GACGAACGCUGGCGGCGUGCUUAACACAUGCAAGUCGAGCGGUAAGGCCCUUCGGGUACGACGAGCGGCGAACGGGUGAGUAACACGUGGGUGACCUGCCCUUAGCUCUGGGAUGAGCCUGGGAAACUGGGUCUAAUACCGGAUAUGACCUCAUGACGCAUGUUGUGGGGUGGAAAGCCUUGUGCGGCUAGGGAUGGGCCCGCGGCCUAUCAGCUUGUUGGUGGGGUGAGGCCUACCAAGGCGACGACGGGUAGCCGGCCUGAGAGGGCGACCGGCCACACUGGGACUGAGACACGGCCCAGACUCCUACGGGAGGCAGCAGUGGGGAAUCUUGCGCAAUGGGCGAAAGCCUGACGCAGCGACGCCGCGUGAGGGAUGACGGCCUGG
Molecule: ribosomal RNA, 387 nt
Filed under: uncultured bacterium
Lineage: Bacteria
Description: bacterial SSU rRNA
Rfam family: Bacterial small subunit ribosomal RNA
Source: RNAcentral